GAUAAACGCUAGCGGCAGGCUUAACACGUGCAAGUCGAGGGGCAGCAUAGAUUGUAGCAAUACAAUUGGUGGCGACCGGCGCACGGGUGCGUAACGCGUAUGCAACCUACCCGUCACAGGGGGAUACUCCGGAGAAAUCUGGGCUAAUACUCCAUAACAUAUGGAUCGGCAUCGGUUCAUGUUGAAAUUUUCGGAGGUGACGGAUGGGCAUGCGUAGCAUUAGCUUGUUGGUGAGGUAACGGCUAACCAAGGCGACGAUGCUUAGGGGGACUGAGAGGUUUUCCCCCCACACUGGUACUGAGACACGGACCAGACUCCUACGGGAGGCAGCAGUGAGGAAUAUUGGUCAAUGGGCGCAAGCCUGAACCAGCCAUGCCGCGUGCAGGAUGACGGCUCUAUGAGUUGUAAACUGCUUUUGUACGAGGGUAAAGUGGGUUACGUGUAACCUUUUGAAAGUAUCGUACGAAUAAGGAUCGGCUAACUCCGUGCCAGCCGCCGCCGUAA
Molecule: ribosomal RNA, 504 nt
Filed under: uncultured bacterium
Lineage: Bacteria
Description: partial 16S ribosomal RNA
Rfam family: Bacterial small subunit ribosomal RNA
Source: RNAcentral